This is a long non-coding RNA of Mytilus californianus (California mussel), 236 nucleotides long. RefSeq lists it as uncharacterized. The record is from RefSeq and is a predicted model, not a curated record. Lineage: Eukaryota; Metazoa; Mollusca; Bivalvia; Mytilida; Mytilidae. The transcript is spliced from 4 exons.
CCCGCCACAGCAUAGCACACGGUUCAUUUUGUUAACCCUGUACACAUCUUAACUUUCACUUGGAUUUCUACAGUUUAUUUUCUUGAAGGUCAUGGAAGGAAUAGACGUCUAUAAUUUUCACGAGGAAGAGGCCAUUUCAAAGUCAGAAGAUAGAGGAAAACAUUUUACCAUUCCCUUUACCUACCACUAGCAUUGAAACUCCUCCUCCAGUAGAGAAUACUAUUGAGAACAAAAGC